GGUUAAGUGACUAAGCGUACACGGUGGAUGCCUAGGCAGUCAGAGGCGAUGAAGGGCGUGCUAAUCUGCGAAAAGCGUCGGUAAGGUGAUAUGAACCGUUAUAACCGGCGAUACCCGAAUGGGGAAACCCAGUGCGUUUCGACACACUAUCAUGUCAUGAAUACAUAGUGGCAUGAGGCGAACCGGGGGAACUGAAACAUCUAAGUACCCCGAGGAAAAGAAAUCAACCGAGAUUCCCCCAGUAGCGGCGAGCGAACGGGGAGGAGCCCAGAACCUGAAUCGGCUUGUGUGUUAGUGGAAGCGUCUGGAAAGUCGCGCAGCAAAGGGUGAUAGCCCCGUACACUAAAAUGCACAGGUCGUGAGUUCGAUGAGUAGGGCGGGACACGUGACAUCCUGUCUGAAUAUGGGGGGACCAUCCUCCAAGGCUAAAUACUCCUGACUGACCGAUAGUGAACCAGUACCGUGAGGGAAAGGCGAAAAGAACCCCGGCGAGGGGAGUGAAAUAGAACCUGAAACCGUGUACGUACAAGCAGUGGGAGCACCUUCGUGGUGUGACUGCGUACCUUUUGUAUAAUGGGUCAGCGACUUAUAUUUUGUAGCAAGGUUAACCGUAUAGGGGAGCCGUAGGGAAACCGAGUCUUAACUGGGCGAAUAGUUGCAAGGUAUAGACCCGAAACCCGGUGAUCUAGCCAUGGGCAGGUUGAAGGUUGGGUAACACUAACUGGAGGACCGAACCGACUAAUGUUGAAAAAUUAGCGGAUGACUUGUGGCUGGGGGUGAAAGGCCAAUCAAACCGGGAGAUAGCUGGUUCUCCCCGAAAGCUAUUUAGGUAGCGCCUCGUGAACUCAUCUUCGGGGGUAGAGCACUGUUUCGGCUAGGGGGCCAUCCCGGCUUACCAAACCGAUGCAAACUCCGAAUACCGAAGAAUGUUAUCACGGGAGACACACGGCGGGUGCUAACGUCCGUCGUGAAGAGGGAAACAACCCAGACCGCCAGCUAAGGUCCCAAAGUCAUGGUUAAGUGGGAAACGAUGUGGGAAGGCACAGACAGCCAGGAUGUUGGCUUAGAAGCAGCCAUCAUUUAAAGAAAGCGUAAUAGCUCACUGGUCGAGUCGGCCUGCGCGGAAGAUGUAACGGGGCUAAACCAUGCACCGAAGCUGCGGCAGCGACGCUUAGGCGUUGUUGGGUAGGGGAGCGUUCUGUAAGCCGUUGAAGGUGGCCUGUGAGGGUUGCUGGAGGUAUCAGAAGUGCGAAUGCUGACAUAAGUAACGAUAAAGCGGGUGAAAAGCCCGCUCGCCGGAAGACCAAGGGUUCCUGUCCAACGUUAAUCGGGGCAGGGUGAGUCGACCCCUAAGGCGAGGCUGAAAAGCGUAGUCGAUGGGAAACAGGUUAAUAUUCCUGUACUUGGUGUUACUGCGAAGGGGGGACGGAGAAGGCUAGGCUAGCCGGGCGACGGUUGUCCCGGUUUAAGCGUGUAGGGGGUGUGACCUGGUAAAUCCGGUUACAUACUAACCCUGAGGCGUGAUGACGAUGCACUACGGUGCAGAAGUAGUUGAUGCCCUGCUUCCAGGAAAAGCCUCUAAGCUCCAGGUAACAUUAAAUCGUACCCCAAACCGACACAGGUGGUCAGGUAGAGAAUACCAAGGCGCUUGAGAGAACUCGGGUGAAGGAACUAGGCAAAAUGGUGCCGUAACUUCGGGAGAAGGCACGCUGGCAUGUAGGUGAAGUCCCUCGCGGAUGGAGCUGAAGCCAGUCGAAGAUACCAGCUGGCUGCAACUGUUUAAUAAAAACACAGCACUGUGCAAACACGAAAGUGGACGUAUACGGUGUGACGCCUGCCCGGUGCUGGAAGGUUAAUUGAUGGGGUCAGCCGCAAGGCGAAGCUCUUGAUCGAAGCCCCAGUAAACGGCGGCCGUAACUAUAACGGUCCUAAGGUAGCGAAAUUCCUUGUCGGGUAAGUUCCGACCUGCACGAAUGGCGUAAUGAUGGCCAGGCUGUCUCCACCCGAGACUCAGUGAAAUUGAACUCGCUGUGAAGAUGCAGUGUACCCGCGGCAAGACGGAAAGACCCCGUGAACCUUUACUAUAGCUUGACACUGAACAUUGAGCCUUGAUGUGUAGGAUAGGUGGGAGGCUUUGAAGCGUGGACGCCAGUCUGCGUGGAGCCAUCCUUGAAAUACCACCCUUUAAUGUUUGAUGUUCUAACUCGGCCCCAUAAUCUGGGGUGAGGACAGUGUCUGGUGGGUAGUUUGACUGGGGCGGUCUCCUCCCAAAGAGUAACGGAGGAGCACGAAGGUUAGCUAAUCACGGUCGGACAUCGUGAGGUUAGUGCAAAGGCAUAAGCUAGCUUGACUGCGAGAGUGACGGCUCGAGCAGGUACGAAAGUAGGUCUUAGUGAUCCGGUGGUUCUGAAUGGAAGGGCCAUCGCUCAACGGAUAAAAGGUACUCCGGGGAUAACAGGCUGAUACCGCCCAAGAGUUCAUAUCGACGGCGGUGUUUGGCACCUCGAUGUCGGCUCAUCACAUCCUGGGGCUGAAGUAGGUCCCAAGGGUAUGGCUGUUCGCCAUUUAAAGUGGUACGCGAGCUGGGUUUAGAACGUCGUGAGACAGUUCGGUCCCUAUCUGCCGUGGGCGUUGGAAGAUUGAGAGGGGUUGCUCCUAGUACGAGAGGACCGGAGUGAACGCACCACUGGUGUUCGGGUUGUCAUGCCAAUGGCAUUGCCCGGUAGCUAAGUGCGGAAAAGAUAAGCGCUGAAAGCAUCUAAGCGCGAAACUUGCCUCAAGAUGAGUCUUCCCUGGGCCUUUAAGGCCCCUGAAGGAACGUUUAAGACUAAGACGUUGAUAGGCUGGGUGUGUAAGUGCAGCGAUGCAUUGAGCUAACCAGUACUAAUGAUCCGUGAGGCUUAACCUU
This 2908-nucleotide ribosomal RNA is filed under the name Serratia sarumanii. RNAcentral's name for it is "23S ribosomal RNA". It matches the Rfam family "Bacterial large subunit ribosomal RNA". The record is from RNAcentral. Lineage: Bacteria; Pseudomonadati; Pseudomonadota; Gammaproteobacteria; Enterobacterales; Yersiniaceae.